UAUAUAAAGAAGAACUAUGACUAUGGCAUAAUCAUAUUCCUCUUGACCUUCAACUUGAUUACGGUGUCAAGCUAUAGGAUUGACAAUGUAUUGAAGAUUUCACAUGACAGAAUCUACACCAUUGCUAUAGGCUUUGGCAUUUGCCUCCUCAUGAGUUUGCUCAUAUUCCCAAUUGGUCAGGGGAAGAUCUCCAUAAUUCAACAGUUUAUAAGCUUGAAGGCCUAGAAAAUUCACUAGAAGCUUGUGUGAAUGAAUACUUUCAUGGAGAAAUUGAAGCCUCUGGAGAGGACAAAUCGUCUGAGGAUCCAAUAUACAAAGGCUAUAAAGCUGUUUUGGAUUCAAAAUCCUCUGAUGAAAUGUUGGCAAGUCCAUUUAAUCAUUCCUUGGUUCAUUAUUCCAAUGAAGUAUUGAUGAUAGAAGAUCUUCUAGUAAUUUAGAUAGGCAUUACAUGCAAGUUGGGAGCCAAGGCAUUCAUGUCACAGAUUUCCAUGACAGUAGUAUGUUAAAGUUAGAGCUGUUCUUCGCCAAUUCGGAUACACUGUGGUUGCUUUAAUGGCUAUUUGAGAACAGAAAUUCAGGAGGCAAAAAUUGGGCAUGAAAAUAAGCACUCUAGAAGCAAAUAAUCAAGACAAAAGAAGGAUUGGAGUGAGGACAAAGAUUAUCAUGACAAAGUACACCAAAAACUAUGAUUGAGAUUUUAUGUAUUAAGAGCUAUAUGUUAAGACAUUUAUAAUUAAAAAAUUAUGUUAUGUUAGAUACUUUA
This is a non-coding RNA of Arachis ipaensis, 763 nucleotides long. The record is from RefSeq and is a predicted model, not a curated record. NCBI's taxonomy places the organism in Eukaryota, Viridiplantae, Streptophyta, Magnoliopsida, Fabales, Fabaceae.